GAACGCUGGCGGCAGCCUAACAAUGCAAGUCGAACGGUAACAUUUCUAGCUUGCUAGAAGAUGACGAGUGGCGGACGGGUGAGUAAUGCUUGGGAACUUGCCUUUGCGAGGGGGAUAACAGUUGGAAACGACUGCUAAUACCGCAUAAUGUCUUCGGACCAAACGGGGCUUCGGCUCCGGCGCAAAGAGAGGCCCAAGUGAGAUUAGCUAGUUGGUAAGGUAACGGCUUACCAAGGCGACGAUCUCUAGCUGUUCUGAGAGGAAGAUCAGCCACACUGGGACUGAGACACGGCCCAGACUCCUACGGGAGGCAGCAGUGGGGAAUAUUGCACAAUGGGGGGAACCCUGAUGCAGCCAUGCCGCGUGUGUGAAGAAGGCCUUCGGGUUGUAAAGCACUUUCAGUUGUGAGGAAAAGUUAGUAGUUAAUACCUGCUAGCCGUGACGUUAACAACAGAAGAAGCACCGGCUAACUCCGUGCCAGCAGCCGCGGUAAUACGGAGGGUGCGAGCGUUAAUCGGAAUUACUGGGCGUAAAGCGCACGCAGGCGGUUUGUUAAGCUAGAUGUGAAAGCCCCGGGCUCAACCUGGGAUGGUCAUUUAGAACUGGCAGACUAGAGUCUUGGAGAGGGGAGUGGAAUUCCAGGU
RNAcentral lists this ribosomal RNA (644 nucleotides) under uncultured bacterium. Its description in RNAcentral is "bacterial SSU rRNA". It matches the Rfam family "Bacterial small subunit ribosomal RNA", at positions 31 to 674 of the family's 1533-position model. The record is from RNAcentral.